GGUCGUAUGGAAAUUCUUCGGCAGACGGCAGAUAUCAGGUUCAUCCCGUGCGACGCCGCUUCUACGCGCGACGCCGACGUCUCGAACGCGCCGCAAACGUAGACGACGGCAUUCCACGGCGCUGCGAAGCCAGCGAAGCGUCUUCGGCAUCGACACCGGACUCCGGACUCAAAAGAGAAGAACGCACUCGGCGACGGAACUCCGCCGCUCCCAACACGGAUUGAUAGGUGCCAAUGCGGUUGCUGCAUGCCGAUGGAGAUCGUCGUCAGGUUGUCUGCCGCCGGGUGUACCCUGCCGCCGUACGCAAGCAGCAGGGCCGGCGCGCUGCGUGACGAGCCACUUGGAUUUCGACUCGCUGUGCCUCAGCCGGGUGUGCUAUGACUCGCUUUACACAAUAGACGCCACUAUGGGCAGAAGAAAAUGCGGGGCGACAAGGAACAACUGCGAGCCGAGGAUGAGGACUCCUCCAGCGACACGGAGUCGGAGUUGGGCUUCGGUCCGUCGUCGAUUGAGAUCCUGGCCCUCAAUGACCCUGCAGUGACCGUAUGUCUACCGCCCUCGAGUUGGUGAUGGAGCAUUUAGCAGCCGUCACGGGCGGGACCGGCGGCCAGCGGCAGCGCGAGCCAGAGGAACUCGACGACCGCAAGUUCGUCGCCGACUUCGUGGUGGUGCUGGGCGUCUACGCAAGAGCGUCGAGCGCCUCGGACGCGUAGCGCCUCGGAUGCCUACGUGCUGAAGCGGAUCUUCCCACUUGCCUUGCCGGCGAGUGCGAGACGAUGGUCCUUCCCACUCAGGACGAAGAUGCAUUGGUGCGAAUAACUGGCAUUGUGGCCGACUGAUGUUGGGGAGCUCCAUCUACAGGUGUGUGAGAAACUUGCAAAACAAAGGGUAGGCCGCACCGAGAGCAACGGUAGGUACGACUCAUAUUUGCUGAGAGAGAAUGGACUUUUUCUCAGCUACAUUUUUCAAGCAGACGAUGCCGCCCAUGGCUCGCCUUUCAGGAUUGUGAAACUCCGAACGCUGCUCAUCAGUCACUUCCAUGAUUCAGCCUCAUCAGGUCACAGCAGCAACAGUAUUACUUGCAAUAAGUUACGUCAUGUCGAGACUUGAUCAGGAAUCGGGCAGGAUAUACUGAAGUAUGCCCACACUUGUCCAGGAUGUCAGAAGUCAAAGUCACGCGAAGGUCUCCUACCAGGAUUUAUGCAACCAAUCGUGCUUCUGGUACGCUGCCUAUAGGCAGUGGAUGCUAUGGUUGUGACUGCGACUGGGGCAGAGCAACAGGCGACCACUUGCCUGUAUGGUGAAAACAAUGGGGAACUGACCGCCAGCGACACAUUUUCCGGGUUCCCGUGCCCUGAUUGUGCGACUGAAUAAAAGUGUUUUUCUUAUACUGGGUAUAGAACCAUGUUUUUCUCACCACAAAAGUAAACAUUG
Ixodes scapularis (black-legged tick) is the source of this 1434-nucleotide long non-coding RNA. RefSeq lists it as uncharacterized. The transcript is spliced from 5 exons. NCBI's taxonomy places the organism in Eukaryota, Metazoa, Arthropoda, Arachnida, Ixodida, Ixodidae. The record is from RefSeq and is a predicted model, not a curated record.